GUCCCUACGGGGCGCAGCAGUGAGGAAUAUUGGUCAAUGGGCGGAAGCCUGAACCAGCCAAGUCGCGUGAGGGAAUAAGGCCCUACGGGUCGUAAACCUCUUUUGCCGGGGAGCAAGGGCCGGGACGCGUCCCGGCCCGGAGAGUACCCGGAGAAAAAGCAUCGGCUAACUCCGUGCCAGCAGCCGCGGUAAUACGGAGGAUGCGAGCGUUAUCCGGAUUUACUGGGUGUAAAGGGAGCGUAGACGGCGCGGCAAGUCUGAAGUGAAAGGCAGGGGCUUAACCCCUGAACUGCUUUGGAAA
This 301-nucleotide ribosomal RNA is filed under the name uncultured bacterium. RNAcentral describes it as "bacterial SSU rRNA". It matches the Rfam family "Bacterial small subunit ribosomal RNA", at positions 335 to 632 of the family's 1533-position model. The record is from RNAcentral.